Molecule: ribosomal RNA, 2195 nt
Filed under: Streptococcus pyogenes
Lineage: Bacteria; Bacillati; Bacillota; Bacilli; Lactobacillales; Streptococcaceae
Description: 23S ribosomal RNA
Rfam family: Bacterial large subunit ribosomal RNA
Source: RNAcentral
UUAAGUUAAUAAGGGCGCACGGUGGAUGCCUUGGCACUAGAAGCCGAAGAAGGACGUGACCAACGACGAAAUGCUUUGGGGAGCUGUAAGUAAGCGCUGAUCCAGAGAUGUCCGAUUGGGGGAUCCCACUAACUAAUGGUUAGUAUCCAUAACUGUUAAGGGUAAUGAGAAGGAAGACGCAGUGAACUGAAACAUCUAAGUAGCUGCAGGAAGAGAAAGCAAACGCGAUUGCCUUAGUAGCGGCGAGCGAAACGGCAGGUGGGCAAACCGAAGUGUUUACACUUCGGGGUUGUAGGACUGCGACGUGGGACUUUAAAAGGAUAGAAGAAUUACCUGGGAAGGUAAGCCAAAGAGAGUAAAAGCCUCGUAUUUAAAAUUCUUUUGAGCCCUAGCAGUAUCCUGAGUACGGCGAGACACGUGAAAUCUCGUUGGAAUCUGGGAGGACCAUCUCCCAACCCUAAAUACUCUCUAGUGACCGAUAGUGAACCAGUACCGUGAGGGAAAGGUGAAAAGCACCCCGGGAGGGGAGUGAAAUAGAACCUGAAACCGUGUGCCUACAACAAGUUCGAGCCCGUUAAUGGGUGAGAGCGUGCCUUGUGUAGAAUGAACCGGCGAGUUACGAUAUGAUGCGAGAUUAAGUUGAAGAGACGGAGCCGUAGGGAAACCGAGUCUUAAUAGGGCGAUUUAGUAUCAUGUUGUAGACCCGAAACCAUGUGUCCUACCCAUGAGCAGGUUGAAGGUGAGGUAAAACUCACUGGAGGACCGAACCAGGGCACGUUGAAAAGUGCUUGGAUGACUUGUGGGUAGCGGAGAAAUUCCAAACGAACUUGGAGAUAGCUGGUUCUCUCCGAAAUAGCUUUAGGGCUAGCGUCGAUGUUAAGUCUCUUGGAGGUAGAGCACUGUUUGGGUGAGGGGUCCAUCUCGGAUUACCAAUCUCAGAUAAACUCCGAAUGCCAACGAGAUAUCAUCGGCAGUCAGACUGCGAGUGCUAAGAUCCGUAGUCGAAAGGGAAACAGCCCAGACCACCAGCUAAGGUCCCAAAAUAACUGUUAAGUGGAAAAGGAUGUGGGGUUGCACAGACAACUUGGAUGUUAGCUUAGAAGCAGCUAUUCAUUCAAAGAGUGCGUAAUAGCUCACUAGUCGAGUGACCCUGCGCCGAAAAUGUUCCGGGGCUAAAACAUUUUACCGAAGCUGUGGAUGACACAAAAGUGUCAUGGUAGGAGAGCGUUCUAUGUGUGAAGAAGGUGUACCGUGAGGAGCGCUGGAACGCAUAGAAGUGAGAAUGCCGGUAUGAGUAGCGAAAGACAGGUGAGAAUCCUGUCCACCGUAAGACUAAGGUUUCCAGGGGAAGGCUCGUCCGCCCUGGGUUAGUCGGGACCUAAGGAGAGACCGAAAGGUGUAUCCGAUGGCCAACAGGUUGAUAUUCCUGUACUAGAGUAUAUAGUGAUGGAGGGACGCAGUAGGCUAACUAAACCGGACGAUUGGAAGAGUCCGGCUAAGCAGUGAGGUGUAAGAUGAGUCAAAUGCUUAUCUUUAUAACAUUGAGCUGUGAUGGUGAGCGAAUUUUAGUAGCGACGUUAGUGAUGUCACACUGCCAAGAAAAGCUUCUAGCGUUUAAUGAUACUCUACCCGUACCGCAAACCGACACAGGUAGUCGAGGCGAGUAGCCUCAGGUGAUCGAGAGAACUCUCGUUAAGGAACUCGGCAAAAUGACCCCGUAACUUCGGGAGAAGGGGUGCUGACUUAGGUCAGCCGCAGUGAAUAGGCCCAAGCAACUGUUUAUCAAACACACAGCUCCCUGCUAAAUCGUAAGAUGAUGUAUAGGGGGUGACGCCUGCCCGGUGCUGGAAGGUUAAGAGGAGGGUUUAGCGCAAGCGAAGAUCUGAAUUGAAGCCCCAGUAAACGGCGGCCGUAACUAUAACGGUCCUAAGGUAGCGAAAUUCCUUGUCGGGUAAGUUCCGACCCGCACGAAAGGCGUAAUGAUUUGGGCACUGUCUCAACGAGAGAAUCGGUGAAAUUUUAGUACCUGUGAAGAUGCAGGUUACCCGCGACAGGACGGAAAGACCCCAUGGAGCUUUACUGUAGUUUGAUAUUGAGUAUCUGUACCACUGUACAGGAUAGGUAGGAGCCAUUGACUUCGGGACGCCAGUUUCGAAUGAGGCGUUGUUGGGAUACUACCCUUGUGUUAUGGCUAC